RNAcentral lists this ribosomal RNA (467 nucleotides) under uncultured bacterium. RNAcentral describes it as "partial 16S ribosomal RNA". It matches the Rfam family "Bacterial small subunit ribosomal RNA", at positions 28 to 507 of the family's 1533-position model. The record is from RNAcentral.
GACGAACGCUGGCGGCGUGCUUAACACAUGCAAGUCGAACGGAAAGGCCUCUUUUGGGGGGUACUCGAGUGGCGAACGGGUGAGUAACACGUGAGUAACCUGCCCUUGACUUUGGGAUAACUUCAGGAAACUGGGGCUAAUACCGGCUAGGAGCUCCUGCUGCAUGGUGGGGGUUGGAAAGUUUCGGCGGUUGGGGAUGGACUCGCGGCUUAUCAGCUUGUUGGUGGGGUAGUGGCUUACCAAGGCUUUGACGGGUAGCCGGCCUGAGAGGGUGACCGGCCACAUUGGGACUGAGAUACGGCCCAGACUCCUACGGGAGGCAGCAGUGGGGAAGAUUGCACAAUGGGUGGAAGCCUGAUGCAGCAACGCCGUGUGCGGGAUGACGGCCUUCGGGUUGUAAACCGCUUUCGCUCAUGACGAAGCUUUGUGUGACGGUAGUGGGUAAAGAAGCACCGGCUAACUACGUG